UGAACGCUGGCGGCGUGCCUAACACAUGUCAAGUCGAACGGGGUUAAGUGAAAUUUCGGAUGGACCUAACUAGUGGCGGACGGGUGAGUAACGCGUGGAUAACCUGCCUCACGACUGGGGGAUAGCAGCUGGAAACGGCUGGUAAUACCGCAUAAGACCACAGCACCGCAUGGUGCAGGGGUAAAAGAUUUAUCGGUGUGAGAUGGAUCCGCGUCUGAUUAGCCAGUUGGCGGGUAACGGCCACCAAAGCGACGAUCAGUAGCCGGCCUGAGAGGGUGAACGGCCACAUUGGGACUGAGACACGGCCCAAACUCCUACGGGAGGCAGCAGUGGGGAAUAUUGCACAAUGGGCGCAAGCCUGAUGCAGCAACGCCCGCGUGAGUGAAGAAGUAUUUCGGUAUGUAAAGCUCUAUCGGCAGGGAAGAAAGGCCCGAAAGGGAGAUGACGGUACCUGACUAAGAAGCCCCGGCUAACUACGUGCCAGCCGCAGC
RNAcentral lists this ribosomal RNA (491 nucleotides) under uncultured bacterium. RNAcentral's name for it is "bacterial SSU rRNA". It matches the Rfam family "Bacterial small subunit ribosomal RNA", at positions 30 to 518 of the family's 1533-position model. The record is from RNAcentral.